This 22-nucleotide microRNA is filed under the name Parasteatoda tepidariorum (common house spider). Its description in RNAcentral is "pte-miR-35e-3p". Its record names the gene pte-miR-35e-3p. The record is from miRBase by way of RNAcentral. Lineage: Eukaryota; Metazoa; Arthropoda; Arachnida; Araneae; Theridiidae.
UCACCGGGUGAAAGAUUUGCUU